Non-coding RNA from Cricetulus griseus (Chinese hamster), 1346 nucleotides. Lineage: Eukaryota; Metazoa; Chordata; Mammalia; Rodentia; Cricetidae. The record is from RefSeq and is a predicted model, not a curated record.
GCGGCUGGGCGGGGUUCGCGGAUCGCAGCCAACUAGGAUAAAAGGUCUUGCGGCUCUGCCGUGGGACCGGAAGCUCGGCCCGUGAUGACAUUUUUUUUUUUCUCAGGCGGAAGUUCUCUGCGCCGCCUCCAGGAUCCGGGCGGGAGCGGGUUGUGUCUUUUCUGGGCUGCGUGUCCCAAGAGCCAAUGAGUACCUGCCUCGGGGGCCUGGACGGUCACGCGCCUUGGGGUCACUUCGAGGGCCCUGCCUUUUGUCACCCUCACAGCUCUGUCUUCUCGGAUCGCUUUCUGGUAAAAUGGGAGCGGGGUGGGGUGGGGACAUGAAAGCGUGACCCUGACGGAGUGCAUGGAUGCAGACCCCGCCGAGCUCUCCUCUGCUUAGGACACCUCACAAGAGUGGCGUCUGGGCCGGCCCUUGCAGGACUCAGGAAAGCAAACGACAGUGCUCCAGUCCCAACCAAGCUGCCAGGUCUGGCUGUAGAAUUUGUUCCGGGCGCUACGGACGGCACAUUUGUACUGCAUGUGAUGACCCGUUCUUACUGCAAGGAGGAGAGUGAGAGUAACAUGAAGAGGAAGUGGACGGGGUUAGAGAGAAAUCUGUUCUGUGAUGCCACCGUAGUACCUUUCCCUGGCAUUAUGACGUCUUUGUAAAUGGACUUACCAGCAAACACUAGCACAUCCGAGGAUGAAGCCAACUGAUGUCUCCAGAUCCAGACCUCCAACAGACCCGUAGCAGUGCUGUCCAUGGGAGUCACCCCUGCACCAUUGGCUUCUGAAAGCAUUCCAUAGUAGACUGGAUACAACAGCUGUCACUUUGGGGUACUAGACGAUUGAAUGAAACCUGGAAUGAAUGAAACCUGUGCUUUCUUUUCCUCUAUUAAUGGAUGAAGUGUGUUCCUUUCAAGGCAUAGGUGGAGACACAGGCAGUGGGAUUGUGGGUUACAAGAGUUUAUGUCUCUGAAUAAACUCAGCAUAUAACACAUCCAUUGCACAAGAGAAGCUUGAGGUACCAGUCCAACUUGAUGGAUCAGUGUACCUGGUAACACCCAGGACUGGGGCUCAGAUUGGCUGACUUUCACCUCACCCGGACCUGUAGUGACCUUUUGUUUCUUUGAUGACACAGCUUGAUGUGGAGUGCCAGGUUGUUGCUUCCCAACAGAACAUAUGUGAUCAAUUCAAUUCCGGAAUCUCAUGUUAAGGUCAUUCCCAAUACCAAUUGCUGAGUUAGGUACCAAGUGGAAUAAAUGACACCAUCUGUUGUGAAAUAUUACUUUAUACAAAGAUGUGUUACAUUUGUUUAUGCUGUGGGCUCUAACCAUGUAAAGAUAUGUUACAUUUGUUUAUGCU